UACGGAGGAUCCAAGCGUUAUCCGGAUUCAUUGGGUUUAAAGGGUGCGUAGGCGGACUGAUAAGUCAGUGGUGAAAUCCUUCAGCUUAACUAGAGAACUGCCAUUGAUACUGUCAAUCUUGAGUACAUUUGAUGUGGGCGGAAUGUGUCAUGUAGCGGUGAAAUGCUUAGAUAUGACACAGAACACCAAUUGCGAAGGCAGCUAGCUACAGGUUGAUUGACACUGAGGCACGAAAGCGUGGGGAUCAAACAGG
This 253-nucleotide ribosomal RNA is filed under the name uncultured bacterium. Its description in RNAcentral is "partial 16S ribosomal RNA". It matches the Rfam family "Bacterial small subunit ribosomal RNA", at positions 524 to 776 of the family's 1533-position model. The record is from RNAcentral.